This 497-nucleotide ribosomal RNA is filed under the name uncultured bacterium. RNAcentral describes it as "partial 16S ribosomal RNA". It matches the Rfam family "Bacterial small subunit ribosomal RNA", at positions 28 to 507 of the family's 1533-position model. The record is from RNAcentral.
GGUGAACGCUGGCGGCGUGCCUAAUACAUGCAAGUCGAGCGAACAGACGAGGAGCUUGCUCCUCUGACGUUAGUGGCGGACGGGUGAGUAACACGUGGAUAACCUACCUAUAAGACUGGGAUAACUUCGGGAAACCGGAGCUAAUACCGGAUAAUAUAUUGAACCGCAUGGUUCAAUAGUGAAAGACGGUUUUGCUGUCACUUAUAGAUGGAUCCGCGCCGCAUUAGCUAGUUGGUAAGGUAACGGCUUACCAAGGCAACGAUGCGUAGCCGACCUGAGAGGGUGAUCGGCCACACUGGAACUGAGACACGGUCCAGACUCCUACGGGAGGCAGCAGUAGGGAAUCUUCCGCAAAGGGCGAAAGCCUGACGGAGCAACGCCGCGUGAGUGAUGAAGGUCUUCGGAUCGUAAAACUCUGUUAUUAGGGAAGAACAAAUGUGUAAGUAACUAUGCACGUCUUGACGGUACCUAAUCAGAAAGCCACGGCUAACUACGUG